Molecule: ribosomal RNA, 480 nt
Filed under: uncultured bacterium
Lineage: Bacteria
Description: bacterial SSU rRNA
Rfam family: Bacterial small subunit ribosomal RNA
Source: RNAcentral
GACGAACGCUGGCGGCGUGCUUAACACAUGCAAGUCGAACGGAAAGGCCCUUUCGGGGGUGCUCGAGUGGCGAACGGGUGAGUAACACGUGGGUGAUCUGCCCUGCACUUUGGGAUAAGCCUGGGAAACUGGGUCUAAUACCGGAUAGGACUCCGAGAUGCAUGUCUUGGGGUGGAAAGCUUUUGCGGUGUGGGAUGGGCCCGCGGCCUAUCAGCUUGUUGGUGGGGUGAUGGCCUACCAAGGCGACGACGGGUAGCCGGCCUGAGAGGGUGUCCGGCCACACUGGGACUGAGAUACGGCCCAGACUCCUACGGGAGGCAGCAGUGGGGAAUAUUGCACAAUGGGCGCAAGCCUGAUGCAGCGACGCCGCGUGGGGGAUGACGGCCUUCGGGUUGUAAACCUCUUUCAACGUCGACGAAGCGUAAGUGACGGUAGGCGUAGAAGAAGCACCGGCCAACUACGUGCCAGCAGCCGCAGUAA